UACGCUACAACAAAUGUCUGUAUACUUAGGAUGGUCUACAAUGAUCCUACAGCUAUUGACAUGUAAUCACUAGCUGCAUUCGUAUCUGACAUGUCCUGUGUCAUCUGUCAUACCCUCGGGAUGACAAAGAGAUGUUGAACAGGUAUCAACAGAGCUGUCUUUUGGCUACAUGUGAGACAUUGCUACAUCUUUGAAUUCUAUCCCAGGGACCACUCUGGGAAGUGC
This is a long non-coding RNA of Mizuhopecten yessoensis (Yesso scallop), 225 nucleotides long. RefSeq lists it as uncharacterized. The transcript has 3 exons. NCBI's taxonomy places the organism in Eukaryota, Metazoa, Mollusca, Bivalvia, Pectinida, Pectinidae. The record is from RefSeq and is a predicted model, not a curated record.